GUAGGUGAACCUGCGGAAGGAUCAUUAACCUUUCAAAUCAGGGUGCGUCGCGGCCCCCGAGGAGCGGAAACAAUCCUUGGGAGGUUUGCGGAGUCUUCGGACCCCUUAACGCACGCACGACUGCCAUCCUUACUUUACGAGCACCUUCUGUUCUCCCUCGGCGGGGCAACCUGCCGUUGGAACCGAAUAAACUCUUUUUGCAUCUAGCAUUACCUGUUCCGAAACAAACAAUCGUUACAACUUUCAACAAUGGAUCUCUUGGCUCUG
RNAcentral lists this unclassified non-coding RNA (267 nucleotides) under rhizosphere metagenome. RNAcentral describes it as "partial ribosomal RNA internal transcribed spacer region". The record is from RNAcentral.